This 101-nucleotide transfer RNA is filed under the name Aquificaceae bacterium. RNAcentral's name for it is "tRNA-Ile". It matches the Rfam family "tRNA". From Rfam's summary of the family: Transfer RNA (tRNA) molecules are approximately 80 nucleotides in length. Lineage: Bacteria; Pseudomonadati; Aquificota; Aquificia; Aquificales; Aquificaceae. The record is from RNAcentral.
GGGCCCGUAGCUCAGCCUGGAUGGAGCGCCGGCCUUAUAAGGCUGGUGCUCCUACAGCCGAAGAAAGCCGGAGGUCCGGGGUUCAAAUCCCCGAGGGCCCA